RNAcentral lists this transfer RNA (72 nucleotides) under Candidatus Micrarchaeota archaeon CG1_02_60_51. RNAcentral's name for it is "tRNA-Asp". It matches the Rfam family "tRNA". From Rfam's summary of the family: Transfer RNA (tRNA) molecules are approximately 80 nucleotides in length. Their secondary structure includes four short double-helical elements and three loops (D, anti-codon, and T loops). The record is from RNAcentral. Lineage: Archaea; Nanobdellati; Microcaldota. RNAcentral also lists the same sequence under 4 other names.
GCUUUGGUGGUGUAGUGGUUAGCAUUCUAGCCUGUCACGCUGGAGACUCGGGUUCGACUCCCGACCAAGGCG